This 450-nucleotide ribosomal RNA is filed under the name uncultured bacterium. RNAcentral describes it as "bacterial SSU rRNA". It matches the Rfam family "Bacterial small subunit ribosomal RNA", at positions 354 to 796 of the family's 1533-position model. The record is from RNAcentral.
GUGGGGAAUAUUGGACAAUGGGCGAAAGCCUGAUCCAGCCAUGCCGCGUGUGUGAAGAAGGUCUUCGGAUUGUAAAGCACUUUAAGUUGGGAGGAAGGGCAGUAAGUUAAUACCUUGCUGUUUUGACGUUACCGACAGAAUAAGCACCGGCUAACUUCGUGCCAGCAGCCGCGGUAAUACGAAGGGUGCAAGCGUUAAUCGGAAUUACUGGGCGUAAAGCGCGCGUAGGUGGUUUUGUAAGUUGGAGGUGAAAUCCCCGGGCUCAACCUGGGAACUGCCUCCAAAACUGCAUGACUAGAGUACGGUAGAGGGUAGUGGAAUUUCCUGUGUAGCGGUGAAAUGCGUAGAUAUAGGAAGGAACACCAGUGGCGAAGGCGACUACCUGGACUGAUACUGACACUGAGGUGCGAAAGCGUGGGGAGCAAACAGGAUUAGAAAUCCCUGUAGUCC